GCUCCAGGAGCUGCAGGAAGAAACAGCUAUCCUUUGGAUCAUCCUUCUCCAUGUGUCAGAAGCCAUAACCCUGAUUACGUGACUGCUGGGAAGGAUGCUAUGAGCCAUGGUGUGUGUGCCACCCAAUCUCUGCCUUUAAAUAAACCACACCUGACAGCCCCAUGCUAUCCUGAGCCCCUUCAAGUUCCUGGAACCUCCCAGAUGCUUCUGAAGAUCGGAAGCUCCAGGAUAGCAAAAGACUUGUGCAUCACUGCUGUACCCUGCAUGCCUCGAGCAAUGCCAGGAACAAGCCGUCACUCAAUAAGCAACUGUGAGAGAAUGAUACCUUUGUCAUCAGCAGCAAACCAAAGACAGGUAGACACCUGAGGCAGGCACAGGGGACAGACACAGCGAGGAACCCCACACAGGAGAUUUUUUUCAAGAAAAGCAGCUGUUCUGCAGUGGACCCAAGAGCAAGAAAAUUUUAGUGAGUUACCAAAGAUAAAGGAGACAGAAAUUUGUUACAUGUGAAAAGCACUGAUGAUGUGG
Molecule: long non-coding RNA, 528 nt
Organism: Lagenorhynchus albirostris (white-beaked dolphin)
Lineage: Eukaryota; Metazoa; Chordata; Mammalia; Artiodactyla; Delphinidae
Exons: 3
Source: RefSeq, a predicted model, not a curated record